UAUGUAGGGUGCAAGCGUUAAUCGGAAUUACUGGGCGUAAAGCGUGCGCAGGCGGUUAUGCAAGACAGAGGUGAAAUCCCCGGGCUCAACCUGGGAACUGCAUUUGUGACUGCAUAGCUAGAGUACGGCAGAGGGGGAUGGAAUUCCGCGUGUAGCAGUGAAAUGCGUAGAUAUGCGGAGGAACACCGAUGGCGAAGGCAAUCCCCUGGGCCUGUACUGACGCUCAUGCACGAAAGCGUGGGGAGCAAACAGG
This 253-nucleotide ribosomal RNA is filed under the name uncultured bacterium. RNAcentral's name for it is "partial 16S ribosomal RNA". It matches the Rfam family "Bacterial small subunit ribosomal RNA", at positions 524 to 776 of the family's 1533-position model. The record is from RNAcentral.